Long non-coding RNA from Ochotona curzoniae (black-lipped pika), 682 nucleotides. RefSeq lists it as uncharacterized. The transcript has 3 exons. NCBI's taxonomy places the organism in Eukaryota, Metazoa, Chordata, Mammalia, Lagomorpha, Ochotonidae. The record is from RefSeq and is a predicted model, not a curated record.
CGGGCUGGGAGCUGCAUGGGAAUAAGCUGUCUGGGGGACGGAUGGACGAAUGGUCCUUCUGCUCACGGCAGAGGCAUUUUUCACUUAGCAUUUGCAAGACAGAAAUGCUGGCAAGAAGUUCAUGAGCACUGAUGGUGAUCACAAUGUCUACCUCCCUUUCCCGUAGGCUCCCUCUCCUCCACCAACCAAUUUUCUUUCACUCAAAUGGUUGACGUGGCAUUCUAGUUGAAUCGGACCAGAACAAAGGAUCACACAGCAGCCAAGCAGGUCCUGCAGUGUUCCAACAGAAGGCUGCAGGGACAGACACACCUGGCUCCUUUGCCUCUGUUCCCGUCGUCUCGUGAGGUGCACACAGGGAGCGAUGUUCAAGCCCGCGACGGUCAGGGCUGAAAUCCGGCUCUCGAUGUCGGAUAUCUGAACGCAACAAGAUCAGCAGGGAGAGAAGCAGAAGGGUAAAGAACAACAAAAGACAAGUGGACAACUAUGAAGGGAGGAUUUUGCCUUCCUAAGACUGUGCCCAUUGACUGAGACACUGGGUGGAAGGAGGCGGCCUGCUCUGCUGUUUCCCGGUAGGCACCACCAAGAGCUGAGCGAGGGACUCUAUGUCCAUCCACAGGACAGUGAGCAAGCACUCAGAACAGCUUUCCCUGAUACUAAGGGUUAAAGGACCCUCCCCUCCGCA